AAUAAUUAAUAAAAAUAUUUAUUAAUCUCGAUUUUAUAAGAGUUAAUAAUUUAAUAAAGUUAAUGUAUUAAAAUUAUUUUUUAUAAAUUAUUAGAAAUGACCGUCGUUAAUAGAAUAUUUUUUUAGAAAAAUAAUUUUCAUAAAUUUAUAAUUGAAUUAAUAUCAGAUCAAGGUGUAGCUUAUAUUUAAGUAGAAAUGGGUUACAAUAAAUUUAUUUAAAUGGAUUUAAAUUUGUAAUAUUUAAUAAAAUUGGAUUUGGUAGUAAAAUUUUAAAGAUUAAAAAUUUGACUUUAGCUCUAAAAUAUGUACACAUCGCCCGUCGCUCUUAUUAUUAAAGUAAGAUAAGUCGUAACAUAGUAGAUGUACCGGAAGGUGUAUCUA
RNAcentral lists this ribosomal RNA (381 nucleotides) under Tephritis femoralis. RNAcentral describes it as "12S ribosomal RNA". The record is from RNAcentral. Lineage: Eukaryota; Metazoa; Arthropoda; Insecta; Diptera; Tephritidae.